CCAUUGUGACGUCGGCGCCCAUGGGUUCUCUCCCUUUUCGAAACGUUUUGAAAGACAAUGCAACCGUCCCAAUGGAAUAUUAUUGAAGCCCUGGUUGAAAAAGCCCCUAAAGAUUUAUGUUAUACAACGUUUGACAUGUUUGAACGAACUUAAAUAUAUAUUUUUUUGCUCAUUCCUGACGACAAGUCAGACGCACACGGUACAUUUUCACUAGCCUUCGGAGCGUGCUAACACUAUUGGGACAUAAAUUAUUAACUUUUUUGAACAAAACUACAUUUGUUAUGGACCUGGGAUUCCUAGAAGUGCCUUCUGAUAAAGAUAAUCAAAGUAUGGCCAUAAUGACCUGACCUUUGAGACCGUGUCAUUAGUCCCGUAUGACAGGAAGCUGAUUGACACCUCCCUCAUGAGCCGCAACAGGUGGCAAAUCGCAUCUCUGCAUGUCUGGCAGACAUAUCAGUGUGGAUGACGGAUCACCAUCUCAAGCUGAACCUCGGCAAGACGGAGCUGCUCUUCCUCCCGGGGAAGGACUGCCCGUUCCAUGAUCUCGCCAUCACGGUUGACAACUCCAUUGUGUCCUCCUCCCAGAGUGCUAAGAGCCUUGGCAUGACCCUGGACAACACCCUGUUGUUCUCCGCUAACAUCAAGGCGGUGACCCGAUCCUGUAGGUUCAUGCUCUACAACAUUCGCAGAGUAUGACCCUGCCUCACACAGGAAGCGGCGCAGGUCCUAAUCCAGGCACUUGUCAUCUCCCGUCUGGAUUACUGCAACUCGCUGUUGGCGGGGCUCCCUGCCUGCGCCAUUAAACC
RNAcentral lists this long non-coding RNA (806 nucleotides) under Salmo salar (Atlantic salmon). Its description in RNAcentral is "lncRNA (ENSSSAG00000094272.1)". Lineage: Eukaryota; Metazoa; Chordata; Actinopteri; Salmoniformes; Salmonidae. The record is from RNAcentral.